Molecule: long non-coding RNA, 932 nt
Organism: Peromyscus eremicus (cactus mouse)
Lineage: Eukaryota; Metazoa; Chordata; Mammalia; Rodentia; Cricetidae
Exons: 2
Source: RefSeq, a predicted model, not a curated record
UAUGUGUUCUGUUGGGGAUGAGGUUUUGCUUUUGUUUCUACAGGAGAAGAUAAGUUGUGGGUACCAUCAAAAUUGAUAAAGGUUCGAUUUGAACAAGAGAAACCUCUUAAUUAGAGGAGGUGAUAGCUCAUCAACCAACAUGAACAUCCAAUUUAAACUAACUUAUACCAGUAACACAUGUCUUUUCAUUUAAUCAGAUAAUAACAUGCCAAAAAGGAACAUCCCCAAAAUUAGUCUUGGGGAAAGGUUUUUGUUUUUGUCUUUUAGGAGAAUGAAGGUUAAGGAAUCUGAAGAACACUGGACAAAUAAGACAACUGAAGAAAAUGGACAAAUCAUCUAUCCCAGGAAGCAGAGUGAAAUGGCGUAUGGUCUCUUAUCAGUUUUCUGCAGGAAUUUACGGCCAGGCCUAACAUCAACUGAAGUCUCCAGGAAGAAGUUGGGGCCCCACAACAACAACAAUUCCACGUGGACAAUAAUAACAUCACUAAGCUGACAAACAUCAUCUACAGAUCAGCUUUGAACUACAAGGUGCUCAGAGCAAUUUUGAGAUGACUAGAUGAGAUGAUCCAGUCUCAAAGACUACUUGAAUAAGGACUUGAGAUAAACCCUGAACUUUGGCAUUAUACACAAACUGGAUAAUGAAGGAUAUAGUUACCUUUCCUAGAAUUUGACAAUUAAUCUAAAAUUUUUCUUUCAGGAUAAAGUUAACUUCGCCCAUACCCAGCAGGAAGCAAUUUUAAGAAUAUGACGCCCACAUUCCCAAAGAGGUGGUGUGGGGUGGGUGGUUUUUUGGUCUUUUUAUGGGUUUUGGGUCUGGGAUAAUUUUCAUUGUUUAGGGGGGUUGGUUACAAGUUGUUGUCAAGGGUUAGGAAAAAGACUAAGCAGAUUAGAUUUAAGGUUCUUAUUUAAAAAAAAGAGAGAGAAAGAAAGAA